Molecule: non-coding RNA, 168 nt
Organism: Pelobates cultripes (western spadefoot toad)
Lineage: Eukaryota; Metazoa; Chordata; Amphibia; Anura; Pelobatidae
Source: the annotation of a GenBank genome assembly
GCAGACACAUUCCAGCCAAUCAGCAGCAGACCCUCCCUCCCAGACUCUCCCACCUCCUGGACAGCUCACUAAGAAUGCAGCUUCACAAUGAAUGUAAAAUGGAUGCUGUCCAGGAGGUGGGAGGGUCUGGGAGGGAGGGUCUGCUGCUGAUUGGCUGGAAUGUGUCUG